AACGAACGCUGGCGGCAGGCUUAACACAUGCAAGUCGAACGCAUCCUUCGGGGUGAGUGGCAGACGGGUGAGUAACGCGUGGGAACAUGCCCUUCAGUUCGGAAUAACCCAGGGAAACUUGGGCUAAUACCGGAUACGUGCGAGAGCAGAAAGAUUUAUCGCUGAAGGAGUGGCCCGCGUCUGAUUAGCUAGUUGGUGAGGUAAAGGCUCACCAAGGCGACGAUCAGUAGCUGGUCUGAGAGGAUGAUCAGCCACACUGGGACUGAGACACGGCCCAGACUCCUACGGGAGGCAGCGGUGGGGAAUAUUGGACAAUGGGCGCAAGCCUGAUCCAGCCAUGCCGCGUGAGUGAUGAAGGCCUUAGGGUUGUAAAGCUCUUUCGGCGGGGACGAUAAUGACGGUACCCGCAGAAGAAGCCCCGGCUAACUUCGUGCCAGCAGCCGCCGUAA
This 449-nucleotide ribosomal RNA is filed under the name uncultured bacterium. RNAcentral describes it as "partial 16S ribosomal RNA". It matches the Rfam family "Bacterial small subunit ribosomal RNA", at positions 29 to 523 of the family's 1533-position model. The record is from RNAcentral.